GACGAACGCUGGCGGCGUGCCUAACACAUGCAAGUCGAGCGGGGUUGAAGCGAGAGGUAACUCGAGCUUCUACCUAGCGGCGGACGGGUGAGUAACGCGUGGGCAACCUGCCUCAAGGUUUGGGAUAACAGCCCGAAAGGGCUGCUAAUACCGGAUAUGCCUAUGGCCUCGCAUGGGGCUAUGAGCAAAGGGGAAACCCGCCUUGAGAUGGGCCCGCGUCCCAUCAGCUAGUUGGUGAGGUAACAGCUCACCAAGGCGACGACGGGUAGCCGGCCUGAGAGGGUGACCGGCCACACUGGGACUGAGACACGGCCCAGACUCCUACGGGGGGCAGCAGUGGGGGAUCUUGCACAAUGGGCGAAAGCCUGAUGCAGCGACGCCGCGUGAGCGAAGAAGGCCUCGGUGUAAAGCUCUGUCUGGAGGACGGAACAAAAUAGACGGUACCUACCCGGACGGAAGGACCGACCGGACUAACGUAACCGUUGCCGAGCGAGCCGACCGGUAAAAGUACGAACGUCGG
Molecule: ribosomal RNA, 520 nt
Filed under: uncultured bacterium
Lineage: Bacteria
Description: bacterial SSU rRNA
Rfam family: Bacterial small subunit ribosomal RNA
Source: RNAcentral